Molecule: transfer RNA, 73 nt
Filed under: Asanoa ferruginea
Lineage: Bacteria; Bacillati; Actinomycetota; Actinomycetes; Micromonosporales; Micromonosporaceae
Description: tRNA-Val
Rfam family: tRNA
About the family: Transfer RNA (tRNA) molecules are approximately 80 nucleotides in length.
Source: RNAcentral
GGGCGCGUAGCUCAGCGGAAGAGCACUCGCCUUACAAGCGAGGGGUCGCAGGUUCGAACCCUGCCGCGCCCAC